Molecule: microRNA precursor, 90 nt
Filed under: Medicago truncatula (barrel medic)
Lineage: Eukaryota; Viridiplantae; Streptophyta; Magnoliopsida; Fabales; Fabaceae
Description: miR5299 stem-loop (mtr-MIR5299)
Source: miRBase by way of RNAcentral
UUGGAAGUAGAGAAGGCAAUAAAUAAUGAAUGAUAUAAUAGGAAAAGUAACAUUAAUGAUUCAUUGGUAUUGUAAAGCGACAUACAAUUU